Molecule: ribosomal RNA, 460 nt
Filed under: uncultured bacterium
Lineage: Bacteria
Description: partial 16S ribosomal RNA
Rfam family: Bacterial small subunit ribosomal RNA
Source: RNAcentral
CCUACGGGAGGCAGCAGUGAGGAAUAUUGGUCAAUGGACGAGAGUCUGAACCAGCCAAGUAGCGUGAAGGAUGACUGCCCUAUGGGUUGUAAACUUCUUUUAUAAAGGAAUAAAACGAGGCACGUGUGCCUUUUUGCAUGUACUUUAUGAAUAAGGAUCGGCUAACUCCGUGCCAGCAGCCGCGGUAAUACGGAGGGUCCGAGCGUUAUCCGGAUUUAUUGGGUUUAAAGGGAGCGUAGAUGGGUUGUUAAGUCAGUUGUGAAAGUUUGCGGCUCAACCGUAAAAUUGCAAUUUAUACUGGCAGUCUUGAGUACAGUUGAGGUAGGCGGAAUUCGUGGUGUAGCAGUGAAAUGCUUAGAUAUCACGAAGAACCCCGAUUGCGAAGGCAGCUUACUAAACUGUGACUGACAUUGAUGCUCGAAAGUGUGGGUAUCAAACAGGAUUAGAUACCCGAGUAGUC